GGACCCGACUGCUAUCAAAGUGGGACUAACCCAUGCGAGUCAACAUAGCAAUAUGUGGCAUACGGCUCAUUAACACGUAUUCAACAUGCCCAGGGGACGUGGAUAACCUCGGGAAACUGAGGAUAAACCGCGAUAGGUCAUCACUUCUGGAAUGGGUAAUGACUUAAAUCUAUAUGGCCCCUGGAUUGGACUGCGGCCGAUCAGGCUGUUGGUGAGGUAAUGGCCCACCAAACCUGUAACCGGUACGGGCUCUGAGAGGAGGAGCCCGGAAAUGGGCACUGAAACAAGGGCCCAGGCCCUAUGGGGCGCACCAGGCGCGAAACCUCUGCAAUAGGCAAAAGCUUGACAGGGUUACUCUGGGUGAUUUCCGUUAAGGAGAUCUUUUGGCACCUCUAAAAAUGGUGCAAAAUAAGGGGUGGGCAAGUCUGGUGU
RNAcentral lists this ribosomal RNA (432 nucleotides) under uncultured archaeon. RNAcentral's name for it is "bacterial SSU rRNA". It matches the Rfam family "Archaeal small subunit ribosomal RNA", at positions 19 to 458 of the family's 1478-position model. The record is from RNAcentral.